Molecule: ribosomal RNA, 301 nt
Filed under: uncultured bacterium
Lineage: Bacteria
Description: partial 16S ribosomal RNA
Rfam family: Bacterial small subunit ribosomal RNA
Source: RNAcentral
CAGUCGCCACGGGAAUACGAAGGGGGCUAGCGUUGUUCGGAUUUACUGGGCGUAAAGCGCACGUAGGCGGAUCGAUCAGUCAGGGGUGAAAUCCCAGAGCUCAACUCUGGAACUGCCUUUGAUACUGUCGAUCUGGAGUAUGGAAGAGGUGAGUGGAAUUCCGAGUGUAGAGGUGAAAUUCGUAGAUAUUCGGAGGAACACCAGUGGCGAAGGCGGCUCACUGGUCCAUUACUGACGCUGAGGUGCGAAAGCGUGGGGAGCAAACAGGAUUAGAUACCCGCGUAGUCCCUGUCUCUUAUAC